AUUAAAACUCAAGCAGAACUAGAAACUGGCUUUAUCAAUAUCGUCUCUAGCUCUAUGCUGGCAAAACAUACCUAUCUAACAUGAACACAUGUAAAUUCUUUUCGAAUUUAAUGGACAACUCUUAGUGGUUUUAAUCUGCAUGUUUCUUUUGACUUUCUUAGACCUUAUUUCAGCUGUUGAGUCUGAUUUGAUUUAAAGGGGGUGGGUUGUGUUUGAAAAAUAUUUUCAAAUAUAUUAGGCUUACACUAAGGACAGGUAGACUGUUUAAAAUUGUUUUUUCUAACUCUAUUUGAAUCUGAGCAGAUAAGGAGGAAGUUGUUUACCCAACACCAGUCUGUUUAAAAAAAAAAAAAAAA
Non-coding RNA from Pelodiscus sinensis (Chinese soft-shelled turtle), 356 nucleotides. Lineage: Eukaryota; Metazoa; Chordata; Testudines; Trionychidae. The record is from RefSeq and is a predicted model, not a curated record.